This 253-nucleotide ribosomal RNA is filed under the name uncultured bacterium. RNAcentral's name for it is "partial 16S ribosomal RNA". It matches the Rfam family "Bacterial small subunit ribosomal RNA", at positions 524 to 776 of the family's 1533-position model. The record is from RNAcentral.
UACGGGGGGUCCAAGCGUUGUUCGGAAUCACUGGGCGUAAAGCGCACGUAGGUGGCUUUUCAAGUCUGUUGUGAAAGCCCAGGGCCUAACCCUGGAAGUGCAGCAGAUACUGUUAAGCUUGAGUAUGGGAGAGGAUAGUGGAAUUUCUGGUGUAGUGGUGAAAUACGUAGAUAUCAGAAGGAACACCAGUGGCGAAGGCGGCUAUCUGGCCCAAUACUGACACUAAGGUGCGAAAGCGUGGGGAUCAAACAGG